This 23-nucleotide microRNA is filed under the name Homo sapiens (human). RNAcentral describes it as "hsa-miR-6851-5p". The record is from miRBase by way of RNAcentral. Lineage: Eukaryota; Metazoa; Chordata; Mammalia; Primates; Hominidae.
AGGAGGUGGUACUAGGGGCCAGC